GAGGGUAUAGCUCAAGUGGUAGAGCAUAUGCUUAGCAUGCACAAGGUCCUGGGUUCAAUCCCCAGUAACUCCU
Molecule: transfer RNA, 73 nt
Filed under: Camelus bactrianus (Bactrian camel)
Lineage: Eukaryota; Metazoa; Chordata; Mammalia; Artiodactyla; Camelidae
Also listed under: 1 other name
Rfam family: tRNA
About the family: Transfer RNA (tRNA) molecules are approximately 80 nucleotides in length. Their secondary structure includes four short double-helical elements and three loops (D, anti-codon, and T loops). Further hydrogen bonds mediate the characteristic L-shaped molecular structure. tRNAs have two regions of fundamental functional importance: the anti-codon, which is responsible for specific mRNA codon recognition, and the 3' end, to which the tRNAs corresponding amino acid is attached (by aminoacyl-tRNA synthetases). tRNAs cope with the degeneracy of the genetic code in two manners: having more than one tRNA (with a specific anti-codon) for a particular amino acid; and 'wobble' base-pairing, i.e. permitting non-standard base-pairing at the 3rd anti-codon position.
Source: Rfam by way of RNAcentral